UCGAUGGGAAACAGGUUAAUAUUCCUGUACUUGGUGUUACUGCGAAGGGGGGACGGAGAAGGCUAUGUUAGCCGGGCGACGGUUGUCCCGGUUUAAGCAUGUAGGCUGGUUGUCCAGGCAAAUCCGGAUAAUCAAGGCUGAGGUGUGAUGACGAGGCACUACGGUGCUGAAGUAACAAAUGCCCUGCUUCCAGGAAAAGCCUCUAAGCAUCAGGUAACAU
Molecule: ribosomal RNA, 220 nt
Filed under: Klebsiella pneumoniae
Lineage: Bacteria; Pseudomonadati; Pseudomonadota; Gammaproteobacteria; Enterobacterales; Enterobacteriaceae
Also listed under: 2 other names
Description: partial 23S ribosomal RNA
Rfam family: Bacterial large subunit ribosomal RNA
Source: RNAcentral